RNAcentral lists this small nucleolar RNA (95 nucleotides) under Sorex araneus (European shrew). RNAcentral describes it as "Small nucleolar RNA SNORA32 (ENSSARG00000019230.1)". The record is from RNAcentral. Lineage: Eukaryota; Metazoa; Chordata; Mammalia; Eulipotyphla; Soricidae.
UGACCAUUACUAAGAUUUUUAGAAUACAGUUUUUCAAUUGUGUGGAUAUGAUCUCACUAACAUUCAUCCCCCAGAAAGUGUUUCUGCUAACAUGU